Molecule: ribosomal RNA, 442 nt
Filed under: uncultured bacterium
Lineage: Bacteria
Description: partial 16S ribosomal RNA
Rfam family: Bacterial small subunit ribosomal RNA
Source: RNAcentral
CCUACAGGUGGCAGCAGUGGGGAAUAUUGGGCAAUGGGCGAAAGCCUGACCCAGCAACGCCGCGUGAAGUAAGAAGGCUUUCGGGUUGUAAACUUCUUUUGACAGGGAAGAGAAGAAGACGGUACCUGUCGAAUAAGACACGGCUAACUACGGGCCAGCAGCCGCGGUAAUACGGAGGUGGCAAGCGUUGUCCGGAUUUACUGGGUGUAAAGGGCGUGUGGCCGGGCUGACAAGUCAGAUGUGAAAUCCGGGGGCUCAACACCCGAACUGCAGUUGAAACUGUUGGUCUUGAGGAUCGGAGAGGCAGGCGGAAUGCCUAGUGUAGCGAUGAAAUGCAUAGAUAUUAGGAGGAACACCAGUGGCGAAGGCGGCCUGCUGGACGACAACUGACGGUGAGGCGCGAAAGCGUGGGUAGCAAACAGGAUUAGAUACCCUAGUAGUC